This is a long non-coding RNA of Anas platyrhynchos (mallard), 2172 nucleotides long. RefSeq lists it as uncharacterized. The record is from RefSeq and is a predicted model, not a curated record. NCBI's taxonomy places the organism in Eukaryota, Metazoa, Chordata, Aves, Anseriformes, Anatidae.
GGCCUGUAUUUAUUUCAGCCCUGUAGCUCCUGAGAGCUGUUUGCACCAUCUUGGUAGCCUGGGAGUACCAACAGACUGUGGGGGCUGCCAGGAGGAGCGAGUGAAUGAAUGAAAUUUCCUCAGAGCUAGAAAUUUUACUUUCACCUGGUUCUGCAAGCAACUAAGUAUCCAGUUUCAUCUAAAUCGCUGGAGAUGUUCAUUACUAAAUUCUCAGAACAUUCCACCCACAGUGAGUAACCAAUUCACAUGACUGCUGGAAUAGCAUGAAUAAUACCUAAGAAAUAAAAAUGUACAUGAGGAAAACCAACCAUCCAAAGAGACAGUAAAUGAGAGGUUAAAAAUAAUGUCAGACUGUCAGACUCCCAGCUGAAAGCCUGAAGUUCUUGAAGGCUACAGGAGUAUUUCUUAAAUUCAGUACUUGGCUUUCUUAAAACAAAACAAAACUUUUUUAUAUUGCUUGAGAAGAGAAUCAUGGAGAUAUUUUAGAUGCAAUGAAUCCAACAUUUGCAAUAAAACAGCAUGCCUACACAAGCUCUGUAUGAUAACAUAUUCCUUCAAAAUCUGAAAGCUUCCCCUGAGAAAAGAGGAAGGCACUGUCCCCAUGCCUUCUGAUCACCAAGAGCCCCAGCUGGUGGUAGUUACCUCCCCAGGGAAGGAGGGCAGGCUGGGAUGCUGCUUUUACAUGGUGAAGAAAUGUUAGUUGCUUGCUGCCCAAGGGGUCAAGGAAGUGAGUAUUGUGGUUAACUCAUGGAAGCUCACGGAAUUGCCUCAAAACGUGUCUGGUCUCCUGCUUUGUCUUCCCCCAGCUAUCAAGGUCCAAUGUGGCUGAUUCCAAUGAAACUGUUGGUUGCAGUGCCAGAGCUGCUAUAGUUUCUUCACUGUCUGAAGAAACUGAAUUCUAGAAAAGAACUAAAAUGAUCUGACCCAUGCUGUGCUGUUCUGUAUUUGACAGUGGAAUCCGAUUAGGACUGAAUUCAGCUGUGGUUAUCAUCUAUCUAGCAAACUGUUUGUGUGUUUUGGGAAGGCACCUGGGGGGAAAAGGCAGUGGAUGUGUUCUUCUGUGAUGGACAGGGCUAUCUAUACAGGAGUUCUGGAGGCAGAAAUUACACAACUCACACAGGAACAGCAACGAUGUGGUAAUACUGACACAUGUAGCCUCAUACCACGUGGUCGAUAUCUUGCACAACGGGACUCGGGUUUUUGGGUAGCCACCAGGUUCUUAUGUGAAGCUCUAAGACUGAUUUGCGUGUCAGAGGACUUGGGGAGAAGAUACUCAGAAGCAUUCAAACUUCUUCAUAUUGAAUGGCACCUUUUUGGAGUUGGCACCAUUUCAAAGUUAUAGUAAGUUACAAACCAUGUUCUUCUGUCAUUGUCAUUUUUUUCCAGUUAGAUAACAAAAGAAGGAUUAAUGUUGUUGGAGUAAUGCUAACACUUCUUAACUGCAGGACAGUGAAUACUGGUAAUUCUUUCUCUUACUCAGCAGACAAGUUAUUUCCCAGUAAAAUAAUAUCUAUUUAGAGGACCAUUUUUAAGCAGCACUGGAGAGACAGGAUAGUAAUAUUCAUAUACAGAAAAUACCUGCCUUUAUGAAAGAGGAUAUUUCUUGUUUACUGUUGGUCGUUAGAGCCACAUUUUAAUACACAUAGUUGUCAUAUAUUAUGAGAAAAUGUGUGUACAUGUUUCAUUAUAAUUUAUGAUAAAGACCUACACAUUAAAAUAACAGACUUAAGUCCAGAUCAUGCUCCAGAACAAGGUAUUGCUUUAUAAUAGUGAAUUCACCUGAGGAGAAAUACUUUAAUCAUUCUGUUACUGCUUCAAGAAAGACUUACAUCUGUGGUAUUUCAACCUACUAAGAAACAGCUGUAGAAAUAAAAAAUAACUCUAGGAUAGGCCUGCACAAUAAAAUGGAGUAUUUCCUGCUUUCACAUAUAACAUAUGGGACCUAACAGAUACUGCCUGACAAUUUUUGGGUGGCAGUAGAAAUCCAAGUGAAAUAAAACGAAGGUUUGCUUUUGCUAUGUAGGUUCAUAGAAGACUGUAUAACCUAGAUGAAGUGUUGUGUUUGCAUAUGCUCAGCUUACAACUCUGUAACUCUGUUAAGCUCUGGUUCAUAUAAAUAUCCUCUGAACUCAAUGUAAAAGAAAAAAAAAAUAAAUGACUGCCCCACAUAAA